RNAcentral lists this ribosomal RNA (1415 nucleotides) under invertebrate metagenome. RNAcentral describes it as "bacterial LSU rRNA". It matches the Rfam family "Bacterial large subunit ribosomal RNA", at positions 1539 to 2925 of the family's 2925-position model. The record is from RNAcentral.
AAUCCACUCUCCUAACGCCGAGAGGUGAUAACGAUGUCUUCGGACUAUCAAGCGAUCCUAAUCAGACUGCCAAGAAAACCCUCUAUGGAAGUUGCUUUGCUGACCGUACCGCAAACCGCCACAGGUAGGUGAGGAGAAUAUCCUAAGGUGCGCGAGUUAACCCACGUUAAGGAACUAGGCAAAAUGACCCUGUAACUUCGGGAUAAAGGGUGCCGCUUUUAGGUGAGGCAAUUUACUUGCUAAGCUGACCGCGGUCACAGAAAAGAAGCUCUGAUGACUGUUUACUAAAAACAUAUGUCUCUGCCAAGCCUCAUAAGGCAAUGUAUAGGGACUGAUACCUGCCCGGUGCUGGAAGGUUAAGAGGUGGGGUUAGACACUUCGGUGUUGAAGCUCUAAAUUGAAGCCCCAGUAAACGGCGGCCGUAACUAUAACGGUCCUAAGGUAGCGAAAUUCCUUGUCGGGUAAGUUCCGACCUGCACGAAUGGUAUAACAAUUGGAGCACUGUCUCAACGUGGGACUCGGCGAAACUGUAGUAGCGGUGAAGAUGCCGUUUACUCAUAUCGGGACGGAAAGACCCCGUGAACCUUUACUAUAACCUGACAUUGGUAUUUGAUGCAAUAUGUGUAGGAUAGGUGGGAGACUUUGAAGCUGGCACGCUAGUGUCGGUGGAGUCACCGUUGAAAUACCACCCUUAUUUUAUCGGAUAUCUAACCUAAGGCCUUGAAUCAGGCCAAGAGACAGUGUCAGGCGGGUAGUUUGACUGGGGCGGUUGCCUCCCAAAGUGUAACGGAGGCGUGCAAAGGUUCCCUCAAGCCGGAUGGUAAUCGGCUGUAGAGCGCAAAGGUAUAAGGGAGCUUAACUGCGAGACCCACAAGUCGAGCAGAUGCGAAAGCAGGUCUUAGUGAUCCGGCGGUUGCGAAUGGAAGUGCCGUCGCUAAACGGAUAAAAGGUACUCCGGGGAUAACAGGCUUAUAGCGUCCGAGAGUCCAAAUCGACGACGCUGUUUGGCACCUCGAUGUCGGCUCAUCGCAUCCUGGGGCUGGAGAAGGUCCCAAGGGUUUGGCUGUUCGCCAAUUAAAGCGGUACGUGAGCUGGGUUUAGAACGUCGUGAGACAGUUCGGUCCCUAUCUGAUAUGAGCGCAGGAUAUUUGAGGAGAUCUGACUUUAGUACGAGAGGACCAGGUUGGACCAACCGCCGGUGCACCAGUUGUCACGCCAGUGGCAUAGCUGGGUAGCUGCGUUGGGAAAGGAUAAGCGCUGAAAGCAUAUAAGCGCCAAGCCAACUCCAAGAUUAGAUAUCCCAUAACAUUAGUUAUCUUAAGAUUCCUGGAAGAACACCAGGUUGAUAGGUCACAGAUGUAAGUUCCGUAAGGAAUUGAGUCGAGUGAUACUAAUAAAUCGUGAGGCUUGAUCGA